RNAcentral lists this long non-coding RNA (282 nucleotides) under Cavia porcellus (domestic guinea pig). RNAcentral describes it as "lncRNA (ENSCPOG00000034460.1)". The record is from RNAcentral. Lineage: Eukaryota; Metazoa; Chordata; Mammalia; Rodentia; Caviidae.
CGGUGAGCUCUGCACUUCCAAUUGGUGAAGCAAAGAGGAAGAAGGGAGAGAGCUGGGGCUUAUGAAUGUGACAUAGCAUGUGGAUUCUCCCGGCUAGAGCCAUAUUUCUUGGGUUCACCGAUCACCAGGUGCCUUGGACACAGGCCAGCAGUGCGUGACGAAAGGCAUCUGCUCUUUCCUGCACUCCUCAGUGGAAAACAUGCACUCUUUAUAUGUGACUAUCCAGAACAUAAGCUCGGUCUGCAUUUUGGACUAGGACACACUGAUGAACACCUUUGUCGU